GACAAACCAAACCACCCGACCACCAUCGCUGCACACGCCACUCCACCUGGAAGAGGACGUUAACCAACUUGGAAAAAACAAAAAACAUCAAAUUGGAAUUGAUGCACGAAAUAAAAAAACAAAUAAAACUUUAAUAAAAAAUUAAGAAAAAAAAUCAGGAAAAAAAAAGAAUAGGGAUUGAAGUUGAAAUACCAAAAACAAAGAGGGCCAAACUAUACUUUUUAGGGAAGGAGAGAAAAUAAAAAAGAGUACACUAACAACAAACCAAACCACCCG
RNAcentral lists this long non-coding RNA (276 nucleotides) under Populus trichocarpa (black cottonwood). Its description in RNAcentral is "long non-coding RNA (PTRI_LNC001580)". Lineage: Eukaryota; Viridiplantae; Streptophyta; Magnoliopsida; Malpighiales; Salicaceae. The record is from RNAcentral.